This 348-nucleotide ribosomal RNA is filed under the name Boophis andohahela. RNAcentral describes it as "partial 16S ribosomal RNA". It matches the Rfam family "Bacterial large subunit ribosomal RNA", at positions 2085 to 2597 of the family's 2925-position model. Lineage: Eukaryota; Metazoa; Chordata; Amphibia; Anura; Mantellidae. The record is from RNAcentral.
AGAAGACCCCAUGGAGCUUUAAACCCAACGACACCCAUUUUCUUUAUACCCUAGUAUUCAUUUGGCUAUGUUUGAUUGGUUUUAGGUUGGGGUGACCACGGAGCAUAAAAUAACCUCCACGAAGAAGAGACUAAUAAUCUUUAUCAAAGAAGUACACUUCCAAGAAUUAACAAAUUAAUUUCCAAUGAUCCGAUAUUCGAUCAACGAACCAAGUUACCCUGGGGAUAACAGCGCAAUCCACCUCAAGAGCUCCUAUCGACAGGUGGGUUUACGACCUCGAUGUUGGAUCAGGAUAUCCCAGUGGUGUAGCAGCUACUAAAGGUUCGUUUGUUCAACGAUUAAAAUCCU